AGUUCACAGGCGUUGCAGUCCAGUCACAUGCAGAACCAAUACACUUUGUGGACAUGACAAAGGGAUCUGCAGUCUGGGUGAGAAUGGAAGGAUGAGAGAAAAGGAAGGAAAAAAAAAAGUUUACAGGUUCUUUCUCCUGUUGAGAACAUGAAAAAUUGGAAAGAAGAAUACAAGUAUAUUCAGAUGAAAUCAAGUAAAGAGCCUUCACAGAGAGUUUCUUAAAAGGCUGUCUAUAUUCAAAUUGCCUGGGAGAAAACAAACAGUUGAUCUAAUCCUCUACAAUGUGCACUUUAAGUAAAAAGACAGUUAUAGACGACCACUUUACAGAAAGCACAAAAUGGGCAAGAGUUUUAAUUUCUAGUGUUGAUAAACUUUGCUAUGUUAAGAUUAUUGAAGAGUAUCAACAAACAGUAGUAAAAUUCCACUUCCAACAUGGGAUUUAGAAGGAAAUGAAUUCAUGAGAAUCAGAUUUCCAUUUGUGGUAUAAGAAUUAUGGGGAGAGGACCUAAUAAGACUGCUACUCUAGCUUCCAAAGUUAGGAAAAAGAAUCUCUUGUGAGCUAAAACUUGUUUUUAAGUGGAAUCUAAUGCCAGAGGCUAUGUCUAAUUCUAUGUUCAUCACUCACAAGAACCUACGAACCCAUACUGAGUCCAUGGUAACAUCUUGACAAGUGUAGCCAGCAGGCACCACAACACAGGCAACACACAACAAUGGAGCUCUGAAAAUCUUGCUUAUCCAGGAAGAUUCAAGAUAAAGAUGAGGCCCCACCCAGUAUCCUGAGUUUUUCAUCUAGCCAUGGAAACCCAAUCCAGCAACAGUGGAGAAAACCAAUUUCCAGGUCACAACAGAGAAACUGAUCUCCAAAACUUGCAUGCACACUGCAGAUCCCAAACAUUUUAGCCUAGGAGAAGGUCUUCUAAACUAUUCUUUUGAUCUCUCUUCCUCUCCCUCUCCCUCCUCUUCCCUCUGUAAUUGUCUAUGCUUUUUCUUUUGGAGUUGUCCUUCGGGUGAUAACUGACGUAUCUAUGGGUUCAAACCAAUGAGGAAGGCACAGGUUUUGUUUUUUUUGUUUUUUUUGUUUUUUUUUUCUUUCCCUCAUCUCUCCUCUAAGAAAGUCCCUAACCCCUUCCUGACCCUUUUCUCUCAUCAGGCUUUCAUCUGUCAGGAAACUCAAAUCCCUUACCUUUGUGUUGAUAUUAGUUAUCAGGCAGAGGAAGAGAACUGGAGGGUGGGGGAGUUAUUGCCUCCUGUCAUGAGCAAGAGAAGGGACUCCAUCUUUAAAGGACCUUUUAAAAAACCUGACAGAUAAUACCUUACUUCUCAUUGUGAAGUCUUCCUUAGAAGGAUCUCCAGUUAAAGAAGUUCUGUCAGCUUGAAGUGAGAAUGUCAAUGAAUUCUUUAUAGAGAAUAAAGAAUCACUAAAGUACGGAGGGAAGCCGUUGAAUCAAGUUCUUUUCUCAAAGGCAGAAAAACAUGCCCACCUUCAGCAGAGGUGCCUUGGUCAUCUAAAGAGUCUAUGAAACAAGGAACUUCACAGCAGUAGUGGAGACUCAGACUGUGGCGACAGUACAUUUGGCAUUUACACAAAAGUGUAAGAGCGAAGGAUGCACACUGUUAAAAUGCUCCUUCAUUCUCAAAGUCAGAAAUGUAUUUUUUUGCUAUAUGUUUGAUUUUUUAUAGAAAAUUGAAACUCAUUGCACAUAAAGGGAAAAAUGCAUUGUAUCACAAUGGGAAAACUCCUGGGAAGACAUGGCUGAGGUCAACAGUUUCCUAGUAUCACACACGCUCGUUCCAUUUAACCAUGCAUGACAAUACUUUUCAGAUCCACACUGAUUCCUAGGGGCCACAGUUUGGAUUUUAAUGUUCUGCAAAGGCUCAAAUAUAGGAUGCAUAUUUCCAGGCAUGUGUUACUGGAAGAUGUGUUAUGAUCGAAACAUGUCAAAUUAAUAAGUCUAGAAGCUUAAUUAAGUUACUUAGCAGUUCUACAUCCUAGAGUAUAGAGGACAUGCCCUUAGCACUCUAGGAUGUUGUUCGUUGUGUCAAUUUGAGAACUUUAAAAAUUUAACUAACUGAUGCAGCAAGGUCCAGGUCUGUCCUUUGCAAACAUUCUUAGCCUGCAAAAGAGGAGGGCACAGAGGUAGUGUGGGUGCUACCCCCAUCUGAGGGCAGGAAGCCUGCAUACAGUACAAGGGAGGAAAACAAGCUUGCUUACUCCUUUUGCUCUCGGUGCUUUUGUUGUCUUCUGCCUCCUUGAAUGGUUGCCCCUCAGCCAUGACACCCUGCUUUGGAGCCAACUGAUUAUGGACUGAAACCUCCACAAACUGUGAGAAAGUUGCAGAGCACCAUGUUCCAAAAUGGCAGCAGCUGUACCAUAUUUUAGACAGCACAGAAAAAUUGUUCCUCAGAAUUAGAUUCAGAGUGCCCAAUAAUCCAGACACUCGAUUCCUACAGUCAAGAGAGUGAAAAGCCUGGUUACUGCUCCGGCUGGCAGCAGACCUUGGUAUUAUCCAUGGUGGUGCUGGUUUGGGUGUACACAGAAUGUAAGAAUUGUGGGUUAAGGUUUCCACCACAAUUUUAUAAGGCAUAAAAGACCAGGAAGUCUGCUCCUGAGAGAGCAAUGUGUGAAGCUAUGAGAGUGAAGCCAGAGGUGCAGUGGAGACCCCAGAAGUUUGGAAAAUCCAGAAACAUGGAACAUCUAUGGAAAUCUGCAAGGAGGGAGAAAAAAAGCAAAGAGAGAAGCUUUGGGAGUUACAACCACCAGAAGUGUCAUAGGGGACAAGGCCAUCUCAGCUCUUUCGGUCUCACAAUUUGCUACAGAUUACCUCAGAUGCUGCACAGAGAACUGUCAGACUUAACGCUUGCCCAGAUGUAUUUUGGACUUUCUUUGUUCCCAAUCCAAUUGUAUUUGUGACUUUUGGAAUGAAAAUAUUUAUCUUGUGCCAUUGAAUGCUGGAUGUGCUUAACUUUUCAUUUCUAUAGGAGUUUACAGCUAAGAAUUUGCCUUACAUCUUGGAAGAGACUUAGGACUUGGACUUUUCACCAAUGCUGAAAAUGUUAGGACUCUGGAAACUCUUAAAAAAAGGACUAAAUGCCUUUUGCAUAAAAGGAUGUGCGUUAGGCUCUGAAGGGGCAAGAGUGAAAUGUUAUGGUUCUAAUGUAAUACAAUACUGGACUUAGUGCUUAUUCUUUGGAAGUGCUAUAGUUUUCAUCUUCAGUCUGGACUUCGUCUCCUACUUUCUAGUGCAGAUUGUUCAGCUUCUGCUUGGCCUCUUCAGCCUUCAUUGUAGACUGUUGAGCCUACUGGUAUAGAUUCUUUAGUCUUCCAUCACACACCCACUGACCUCCUGAUAUGGACUUGCAUGGAACACUGCAGUGAGCUCCAGAUCUUGGACUGGAUCCUUCAGCCUCCAGGGUACAGAUAUUUUCUGCACGCAUCCUCAUUCGACUCCGUGGCUGACUAUCAUAAGCCAAGCAUGUAAUUUCUUAUACCUUUGCAUAUUUUGUGUUAUGUCUCUUUGUCUAGUAAACUCUAACAGAUACAUGGUGCAAAUAUGCAGGCAGGGAUGGUAAUGGCAGGAAUAUGAGUAACUGGAAGUUACUUUCGAAAGGGACUGUUGGGAUUCAGCUUCUUUACAAUUCUCUCUCUUUGGGUUCCCAGCUGUAUGUGAGUAGCUGUGCUCUUCCACAUGAACCUUCAGUGAUGCGCUGCCUCACUCAAAGAAAAAGGGCCACCAAUCACAGAGCACAGCUCUAAUACUGAAAGCUAUAAUAAAACUUUUCUUUAUAAGGUUAUUUUCUCAUGUAUUUGUGGUUAUAACACAAGGCUCACAACACACAAAAUUUGUACACAAAUAGACAUAUUACAUGAGGAUUCUAAUUUACCGUGAGGUAAUUGUAGAUCAAGACUCUUGUCAUUAAAGUCUGACUUUUUAAACUCUCAAAUUUACAUUUUUUCUCUUAUUAGUCACUGUAAAUAUUCUCAAAAGGCAGGUAAUUUAAAAGCUGGUUAUAUUUUGUGAGACAAUAUUCUUAAUAAAUUAUUAAUAAUUUUCUUAUGAUGAAUAACUGUUUUGGCUCAAUGAAGUUAUACCAUUGCUGUUAGAGAGAUUUUCUCCCAACUAUGAUAACCCCAGUUUACACUGUUUCUCCCAACUAUGAUAACCCCAGUUUACACUGUUACAAUGUACAUCUCUUUCUAUCCGCACAGGUCUCCUAGAUCUCUUGUCUAGAAAUGUCUCUACGUUUAUGCAGAUAUAUAUAUAUAUAUAUAUAUAUAUAUAUAUAUAUAUGCAGAUAUAUACAUGUAUAUAUAUGGUUAGCCUAACUUCCUAUUUUCUUUCUUGAUCCAAUUUUUCAUAAGUAAUUCAUUCAACAAUAACAAUAUGUACUAUUCUGUGAGAAUCCAAAAAUAAGUCAUGUAGGGAUACUUCUCUUAAUGAAACAGUCCUGUUUCCAUUCCCUCCACAUUCCACCCUCAAUUUGAUGAGGAACAGUUUCAAACAUUGUCACAAAUGUUUUUCAGUUUUCUGUUGCUUUUCCUAAUGACACAAGUUGCUGUGUUGCCUCUAACAUUUUUCAUAACUAAUAGUUAGAUAUGUUUACUGAAUACAUUAUCUUUGACUUUCACUCAUAAACUUUUCUAUCCAUUCUCAUACUAGAUAUAUAAAGUAAAUCAACUGGUUCUAUUUUUAUAGGAGUAACAAUCAUUUAAACAAGUUGUUUUUGCAAGAGGACAAGUAAGAAAGCAAAUUUAGGGUACCUAUUUUGACUGUGUGACUCUGAUGUUCAGGGAUUGCUUACUACAUGUUUCUUUAUGACUUUAUUAUACUGUCAGUAAUGCAGUCCUCCUUCUCCAUUCAUUGCCUCUGCUAUAUGAAGUUGUAUUCUGUUUUAUGGAUUUAACGUGGAACAUGUGUUCAAUAAUUAUUUAUUUUUAGCCAAUAAAAUAUAGCUUGAAUCUUUGAAGUAAUGUUUUCCAUUAAAUAUUUAUUAACUCAUUUUUGGAAAAAAAAAUAUAUAUACAUAUACUUAUAUUAUCUCUUUACUUUCAUUUUUGAUUGCAGUUAUCAGUAAUGAAGAAAAUAUUCACAGUAUGACUGAGGACAUACAGAAAUUCUGUAAUUUAAUGAAUUGAUGAAACUGAAAAUAUAUUUAGCAUCAAUAUUUCACAGUACAUUCAGCAGUGUCUAGUAAUUUCCUAAAUAUAAUAAAGUUUAAAUAAUCAACAUGUAUUACCACAAGUUCACACUUCUUCCUGGUAAAUAUUGUAUUCUCCUACUAUACAGGGAGAAUAGACUAAAUAAAUUCUUUAUUAUGAAGUUGACAACUAUUGCUGGCUCAUCUAAACAAAAUCAACAAGUUCUUUAUUCCAGAAUAUAAUGACUCAUCUUAAAAAGGUACAUCAAUUAGCAUCUGUCGAAAUUGUAGGUGUACAAAUUAAUAGGUAAUGCAAUAUAACAUCAAAUUAUCAUUUAUUUUGAUUAAUUUGCUUGCAAAUUAAUUUCAUAUCAUCAAGACAAUCAACUACUACUGUACAGCUUUUCUUCAACUGAAAGAAUAGAGUUUGAAUUGAAGUUUUAAAAUGUGUUUUUUGUUCUAAAUAUUUGGUUUUCUGAAUGAGUAAAAAACAAAAUUUGACUUUUAAUGGUUAGCAGUUUUAAGUUAGGUUACCAUUUGACUAGGUAUAUACUUAUUAAUUAUGUGUGAGUGAAAUAAGUAGAUUAAGGUAAUUGUUUAAUUAAGAUAUUUCUGUCUUUCACUUUACUGAUUUAAAAUAAAAUUCAUGUUUGGGAAUAACUUACUCAUUUCAUGUAUCAGUGAAAUUCAUAAGUAUAAAAGUGUGAAACCUCGAUUAAAAAUGUCAGCAUUUCACAUUU
Molecule: long non-coding RNA, 5876 nt
Organism: Cavia porcellus (domestic guinea pig)
Lineage: Eukaryota; Metazoa; Chordata; Mammalia; Rodentia; Caviidae
Exons: 4
Source: RefSeq, a predicted model, not a curated record